Molecule: ribosomal RNA, 729 nt
Filed under: Coptotermes formosanus (Formosan subterranean termite)
Lineage: Eukaryota; Metazoa; Arthropoda; Insecta; Blattodea; Rhinotermitidae
Description: eukaryotic LSU rRNA
Rfam family: 5.8S ribosomal RNA (bases 392-547)
Source: RNAcentral
AUGGUCGAGAUAGAACGUGAGGGACGAGACCUCCCGCCUGCGGGCGGGUGGCACGCUUCGCACGCCGUCGGCACCUCUGCCGGCUAGCGGGUGUUUCAGAACUCUCCGCGUGGCGUGACGGGCGUCAGAGCUCCCGAACUCGAACGACUUGAAGCCGGUCUCGGCUGCGGCAGGCCGUGGUACCAGCCAGGUUUAAAGGCCCUCAAGGGGGUCGCCAACGGUCGCGCCGCUGAUUCGAGCGGCGCCUAGAACGAAGAAGCGAGGCCCAAUGGCCGUGGGGUGCGGUCUGGCGUGACCUCCCCAGUGGUCGCACGUCGCGUGCCCACGGCCUGCUUCGCGGCAAAGCACGGACCUGUCCGAUGCUGCCACAUGGAUGGCGAAUGAAACGCACAACCCUGAACGGUGGAUCACUUGGCUCGUGGGUCGAUGAAGAACGCAGCAAAUUGCGCGUCGACAUGUGAACUGCAGGACACAUGAACAUCGACGUUUCGAACGCACAUUGCGGUCCUUGGAUUUCCAAUCCCGGACCACGCCUGGCUGAGGGUCGGCCUUCUGAAACCACUGGGCCCGCCGCGUACGGCUGCGGGCCCGAAGAUGAGGGCACGCGCGCUCGUCCUAUCCGGGCGGGUCGCGCGACGCUCUUGAAGUUUAAGAUAGUGCUGUCGUGGCUAACCGCGCCCUCCGGCGCACGGCUUGAGAGGGGAAGGUCCCGAAUUUUGAACGACACAG